Molecule: ribosomal RNA, 253 nt
Filed under: uncultured bacterium
Lineage: Bacteria
Description: partial 16S ribosomal RNA
Rfam family: Bacterial small subunit ribosomal RNA
Source: RNAcentral
UACGUAGGGUGCAAGCGUUAAUCGGAAUUACUGGGCGUAAAGCGUGCGCAGGCGGUGAUGUAAGACAGGUGUGAAAUCUCCGGGCUUAACCUGGGAACUGCAUUUGUGACUGCAUCGCUGGAGUGCGGCAGAGGGGGAUGGAAUUCCGCGUGUAGCAGUGAAAUGCGUAGAUAUGCGGAGGAACACCGAUGGCGAAGGCAAUCCCCUGGGCCUGCACUGACGCUCAUGCACGAAAGCGUGGGGAGCAAACAGG